CAUUAAAGUCCACAUGGAAUGUGGCUCAUCUGAGCAUUUGGCAUGUUCUAGAAGAUGAAAUCAUUUCAAAAAGUCAGCCAAAAGGGUAUGGAAAAGGAGGGAAUCUUGGAUGUGAGCAUAGUGACCAACUCAGCAGUCUACACAUAUUUAUGGAUAAAAGCACAAAUACUGAAAUAUUAAAAAAUUGUGAUGGGAAUUAUGAACACUGAUUAUGUGAUCAUGAUAUGCUGGAAUUAUUCUGAAGAAACAAAAGGAAAAGCCAAGCUAGAGGAACAUGACCUGGGUCAGGAGAUGUCGUGUAAGAGUACUGACCCUUGGGAACCACAGCGAACACUUGGAAGACACUUGCAGAGAGAAUUUGUAAGAGUCACUGGAGAGCUUGCUUCCAUUGCUCUGCUAUCCUCAUGUGAAGACACAGAGAAGUCUGCAGUUUACAGCCUGGAAGAGGGUUUUCACCGGAACCCCACCCUGCUGGCAUCUUCAUCUCAGACUCAGCCUUUUGAACUGUGAGAAAUAAAUUUAUAAAUUUAUAACAUUGUUUAUAAGCCACCUCAUUUCUGAGUAUUUUGUUGUAGCAGCUGAGCUGAUGAACACACUACCCUGUUUCUUUCACUGCUUGUUCCAUUUUGCCCCAUCUGCUUAUCCCUGACCAAUUCAUUAAGGUAUACAACUCCUUUCUCUUCCUUCUCAUCCCUUCCUGCCACAUGUAUUGGCCAUGCUCUACCAACACUGUGCUAUUUACUGUUUAUAUAGUGGUGAACAAAAUGGAAACAGUGCCUGCAUCCAUGAGUGUUACAACUUGAUACGGAAGAUUUAACAUGAUGAACACAGUUAAAUAUGUAAAUACAAAUUUUCUGAAAUGUACCAUGAAAGAAAAUGUGUGUGUUUUUUCCUGUGAAAGAGAUAAUAACUUGGUGAUGUGCUUUAGUUUGAGGGCCCAGGGAAGGAACUACCAUCGAUUCUGAAGGACGAUGAGCCAAAAAAAAAAAAAAAAAAAAAAAGAGUUGCCUGGUAAGGGAGAGGAUUAAGACCUCUGCAGAUCUGAAGGAUGAGGAAAUGGGUUCUCAGUUGGAAGAACACUUUUUUUCCCAGUGGGAAGGGAGGAGAAUAUCGUUCUUCAGUUUGAACACAUGAUAGAAAACUUGGUUUAAGCCAUGAGAAUCUCAAAAUUUCUACUCAAAACCUUUAGAUGUUUCUUAGAGUUGUUCUAGCAUCUAAAUUCCAUACAACAAAUGAAAAAUCAGCCUAUUUUUCUGUUUAAAUAUCCUUUCUUCCACCACCUUGUAUUGUUUCUGUUGAGUACUUGGGUAGACACAUGUUGUUUCUUUAUAUUUAGAUUUUCACCAGUAUGUGUUAGAAUCAUAUCUUUAAUUACUCUUUCCUGGGUCAGAUCUUUAUUCAUCUCAGAAUAUUUCUUCAUUGUGUUUAAUUAAUUUGAUGUGACAUCAAAUGUUUGUAGUGUUUUCCUUUUCCUUCAUUUUUUAAUGAAAUUUUGAUUGUUUACAUCUUUACUCUUCAUUUGCUGCUAUAAAAUUAAUUGUAUUUUCUUCAAUAAUUUUUAGCUUGACGUUUUCCCCAUCCAAAUCCUGGCAGAAAUCCUCAAGCAUUUUAAUUUUAAGUUUAAUGCAGGAUAAAUUCUCCUUUUUAUGGAGCAGCUACCUUUAUGUUCUCCAAGAAUUGCUGUCCCCAUAUAAAGCAGUUGAUCUACAAACUCUUUUUUCUACUCUGUCCUUACUCUAUCAACGAACAGGCAUCUGCCGCAAGCCAUAAGAGCCUAUAGGUAGCUUCAAACUUGUGGUUCUAGACCCUUCUUGGAACUAACAGGUCACAGAGUCCACAAAAACCCCUGUAUCUUACUAAUAAAUUCUCUUUUUAUUUUUA
Molecule: long non-coding RNA, 1881 nt
Organism: Hyaena hyaena (striped hyena)
Lineage: Eukaryota; Metazoa; Chordata; Mammalia; Carnivora; Hyaenidae
Exons: 2
Source: RefSeq, a predicted model, not a curated record